RNAcentral lists this ribosomal RNA (286 nucleotides) under uncultured Bacteroidota bacterium. Its description in RNAcentral is "uncultured Bacteroidetes bacterium partial 16S ribosomal RNA". It matches the Rfam family "Bacterial small subunit ribosomal RNA", at positions 56 to 339 of the family's 1533-position model. The record is from RNAcentral. Lineage: Bacteria; Pseudomonadati; Bacteroidota.
UGCAAGUCGAGGGGCAGCACGAGGUAGCAAUACUUUGGUGGCGACCGGCGCACGGGUGCGUAACGCGUAUGCAACCUACCUUUAACAGGGGCAUAACACUGAGAAAUUCCGACUAAUACCGCAUACGUCCUCCGGGGGCAUCCCCGGGGGAUGAAAGAAUUAUCGGUGAAGGAUGGGCAUGCGUGAUAUUAGGUAGUUGGCGGGGCAACGGCCCACCAAGCCCACGAUAUCUAGGGGUUCUGAGAGGAAGGUCCCCACAUUGGUACUGAGACACGGCCCAAACUCC